This 279-nucleotide ribosomal RNA is filed under the name uncultured bacterium. RNAcentral's name for it is "partial 16S ribosomal RNA". It matches the Rfam family "Bacterial small subunit ribosomal RNA", at positions 506 to 784 of the family's 1533-position model. The record is from RNAcentral.
UGCCAGCCGCCGCGGUAAUACGGAGGGUCCGAGCGUUGUCCGGAAUUAUUGGGUUUAAAGGGUGCGUAGGCGGCCUUUUAAGUCAGAGGUGAAAUCCAACAGCUUAACUGUUGAACUGCCUUUGAAACUGGAAGACUUGAGUACACUAGAGGUAGGCGGAAUUUAUGGUGUAGCGGUGAAAUGCAUAGAUACCAUAAGGAACACCGAUAGCGAAGGCAGCUUACUGGAGUGCAACUGACGCUGAGGCACGAAAGCGUGGGUAGCGAACAGGAUUAGAUA